This 397-nucleotide ribosomal RNA is filed under the name uncultured bacterium. Its description in RNAcentral is "bacterial SSU rRNA". It matches the Rfam family "Bacterial small subunit ribosomal RNA", at positions 917 to 1333 of the family's 1533-position model. The record is from RNAcentral.
GGACCCGCACAAGCAGUGGAGCAUGUGGUUUAAUUCGACGCAACGCGAAGAACCUUACCAGCGUUUGACAUGAGAAGUGCCGGUUACAGAAUGGUAACCUUCAGUUCGGCUGGCUUCUACACAGGUGCUGCAUGGCUGUCGUCAGCUCGUGUCGUGAGAUGUUGGGUUAAGUCCCGCAACGAGCGCAACCCUCAUCCUUAGUUGCCAUCAGUUCGGCUGGGCACUCUAAGGAAACUGCCGGUGACAAGCCGGAGGAAGGUGGGGAUGACGUCAAGUCCUCAUGGCCCUUACGGGCUGGGCUACACACGUGCUACAAUGGCAAUGACAGUGGGUUAAUCCCAAAAAGCCAUCUCAGUUCGGAUUGGGGUCUGCAACUCGACCCCAUGAAGUCGGAAUC